Molecule: ribosomal RNA, 253 nt
Filed under: uncultured bacterium
Lineage: Bacteria
Description: partial 16S ribosomal RNA
Rfam family: Bacterial small subunit ribosomal RNA
Source: RNAcentral
UACGUAGGGGGCUAGCGUUGUCCGGAAUCAUUGGGCGUAAAGCGCGUGUAGGCGGUCCGGUAAGUCCGCUGUGAAAGUCGGGGGCUCAACCCUCGGAUGCCGGUGGAUACUGUCGGGCUUGAGUACGGAAGAGGCGAGUGGAAUUCCUGGUGUAGCGGUGAAAUGCGCAGAUAUCAGGAGGAACUCCAAUUGCGAAGGCAGCUCGCUGGGACGUUACUGACGCUGAGACGCGAAAGCGUGGGGAGCAAACAGG